GUACUCACUUCGGCAGCACAUAUACUAAAAUUGGAAUGAUACAGAGAAGAUUAGCAUGGCCCCUGUACAAGGAUGACACGCGACAGCCUUGGCCUGGUGCCCUCUGGA
RNAcentral lists this small nuclear RNA (108 nucleotides) under Octodon degus (degu). Lineage: Eukaryota; Metazoa; Chordata; Mammalia; Rodentia; Octodontidae. The record is from RNAcentral.